UGGGCGGACAGGGAAGGUGCUGUCCGUUCGGCAAUCCGCCGCCGCGGCCGAACCGUGCCAAAUGGGUAGUGGUUUCGGGGUGGGGCGUGAUAGAUUCGAAGUGUGGACGUUUCGCGGAUUUGGGACGUGGCGUUCGUGGAUUCGGACGUGUGGCGUGGACAAUCCAUUGGUGUGCGCGAGAUCCGGAGAAGAUAAAAGAGAGGUUUGAGUCCGUGGAUUCGGUAAAUCACCUUGUAAUCUUUUAUUCUUAGUGGAUUGUUAUCGCGUGUUGGUCCCGUGGGUUUUUUACUCCAAGUUGGAGUUUUCCUACGUAAACCUUGGUGUGAUUUUUAUUUUUCGCAUUUAUUUUUAUUGCAUUGAGAUUUGUGGUUUUUGGCUAUUACACCUAUUCACCCCCCUCUAGGUAUUAAAUACAAUCUAGAUAGAUCCUUGGGCUCCUCAAAAUAGGUGUCGACUUUGUUAACGGUCCAUUAUUAUGUUAUGAAUUUUAUGUUGGCAUAUUUCGUGAAGUAAGUCGGAGUCUUGAAAGUUUGAAGAAGAAGAGAUGAAGAUCGAAGACUCGAAGACUCAAAACAUGAAUGCACAAUGCUCGGUAAGUUUAAAUACUAUUGAUGAUGAUUUAUAAACGUUUAAAAGUGUUUGGAAGACUUGGGAUGGUUUUAAAAUAUGAAUUUGGACAAGACUGAGCCUUUCAAGGUUCGGGGACCGGUCCCUGAACUGAGGGACCAGACCCUGUAGGUCCUCUCUGCGUAAAGAAAUGAUGCAACCAGUCCCUAAGAUGAGAGACCGGUUCCCGUAGCAAGGUUUUUUAGCUACGCAACGAGAGACCGGUCCCUGAGAUGAGAGACCGGUUCCCGUGGCAUGUGCAUGUGUUUUCUGCUACGCAACGAGGGACGGGUCCCUGGCUUGGAGGAUCGGUCCUCGAGGGACCGGACCCUUCGGAAGGACCGGACCCUGAGACCAAUUUUUGUUUUUAAAAAUCAGGUUUUCAAAUCCUAGUCUAUCUCUAAGUCUUCUAAACCUAUAAAUAAGAUUUAGAGGUGUUUCUAAAGGAUGGCUAAGCAUAGAAUAUUUUUUUAAAAACCCUAGAAACUUGUUGGGUGCUCUCUUUCUUUCUCCAACAACAAGUUUCUAUUGGAUCAAUUCUUGAAACCCUAAUUUCUUGUUCUUCAUGGAGAAUUGAUCCGGCUAUUACUUAGAAAUAUCUUCUACGGUUCAUUCAUGAUUAUCUAAGCAAUAAAUCAUCAUCGAUCGUAUUGUUCUUGCUCCGGACGGAGUGUGCUCAUAGAUUCGAGUGGGCGUCAUGGAUUCGGCGUGAUCAAGGCUUCGUGGAUUCGAAGUGUGGACGUUUCGUGGAUUCGGGAGGUGGCGUUCGUGGAUUCGGAUGUCACGACCCGCCAAUUUGGCCGGGUUGCGGCGCCGCCGACAGACCGCCGAACGGACAGAGUUUCCCCUGUACGUCCUAGGCGUCGCAAUUAAUACAAUACGAGAGGUUCCAAAUACGAACAGUAUUCAUUCACAGAUUGCAUAAGGAAGUAUCGAAAACAUAAACUGCUAAGUUAUUACAGUAUUCAACUUAGAUGCAUUUUACAACAUAAUUUUUCUUUUACCCCUAACCUCCAAAUGCAACCAUAAUUAUUACAGAUUCUUUUACAACUUAAACAAAAGUUUGUUCUUGUCUUUAAACCUCCCAAGCUAGACCACCAACUCGGGUACUGCUAUCUCAGUCUCUGGGUAGGACGUUAUCUGCAGAACUACGUCCUCGCCUUGCGCCGCCGCGCCGCACACGUGUGUACCCGUACCCCCAAAACAGCAACACGGGGGUGAGACUAUUGUCCAUAGUCCUCAGUGGGUUUAGCCACCCAAGAGAACAAGCUCAGCCAACAGGUCUAACGAGGCACUGCAACAUGUUAGAUCAACAAUAUAUAACAGAUAUAUAUAUUCAAUUGAAAUACAUAUCAUGCCUCACAAAAUGCAAUAUGCAAUACCUGGAAUCAUGCAAGUAGGUUACUUUAACGCUACUUAUGUUCUUAAUCAUUCUUUACUCUUUGCCAUUUAAUGCUUACUUUUACCUCUUAGCUAUUCCUUUCUUUAGCUAUUCAUUAUUCUUUAGCCAUUCUUUGUUCUUUAGCUAUUCUUUACUCUUAACAUUCUUGAACCAUGCUAUAUCUUAGCCUUUGGCAUUCUACUCUAAGGUCACUUUACCUUAGUCAACAAAGCCACCCGACUCGGUCUUGAGUCAAUCAAUCGCGGAUAGUCCGCGCACUGUCUAGCUCGAGGUGAAGGAACUCUCACAUGCACCUCAGCUGGCAACAGCUCACCGUACUCCUGUCCUAGCCGUCUGGCGGCGAACGAAUCGCACCUCACCCAACAACGGCCUAGGUUCAAUGACUUAGUCACCCGGCGGCGAAAUCGUCGCACACACGCCACGACAGUGGUUCAGUCAACAGGCGGUAGGAUCCACAAACUGGCUAACCAUCCGGCGGCGAAAUCGUCGCACACACGCCACGACAAUGGUUCUCUAGCCCCUGGGCGGCGAAAUCGUCGCACACACCCGACACCACUUUGGGUGUAGCAGCAAGCAGCGGGAUUCCGGAAUCCAUAUCACAUCAACCAAGGGUUGGUCUUAACCCUAUGGAACUGACCUCUCUAGGUCUAAGCAUUUAUCUCCUAGGUCCAAUCGACUCUAGGUUCAUUGUCCUUUACACAACCUAAGUUAUUACUUUAGGUUUAUUGCUUUCACAUUCUUAACCUAGGUUUAUUACACUAGGAUCAUCAUUCUUUUCCAACCUAGGUUUACUUGACUCUAGGUUAAGCAGCUUUCAUUUCACAACCUAUGUCCUUUACAUUAGGUUCAACAUCCCUCUUAUUUAACCUAUGUUCUUUACAUUAGGUUCAACAUCUCAUUUAUUUAACCUAUGUCCUCGACACUAGGUUUAAUGCCACUCGAUCUAUAGGUUUAUUCAUGUCCACCUAUAUAUGUUCCUUACUUAGCAUUCUUAACAUGCACUUGCAUUUACUAUUCUUAUAUCAUGCUUAUCACUUAUACUUUAGCAUAGCAUCAUUCACUUUAAUCAUUCUAGGGUUAUCAACCUAGUUUCAUGCACAUUUAUCUCACAAUGUCAACAUGCAUUCUAUAUCUCAUUUUAACUUAUAUCAUCAAUAUGCAUUUCAUUCUAUGCAUUAUGCUUACAUGCAUUCACAUAAUUAUCUAGCUUUAUUCAACAUGCUCAUAAUGCAUUCUAUUUAGCAAUUACAUCACACUAUCAUCAUGCAUUAUUUAGCUACAUGCAUCAUUUACAUUUAUAUGCAUCAACUUUAGCAUCUACAUCAUAUUAUGCAUUUCUACUUAGCAUCAACUAUGCCGAUCAUCAACAUGCAUCAACAUGAAAGUCUAAUAAUUAGACAUAAAGGCGACCUAGUCGCUUCGGUAAACCAACCCACCUUAACACGCGCUCCGAUUGCUUGUAGUCACUUGCAAUCGGCCUCCCGCGGCAACCGUUGCCCGGUUUGGCCCGAACUCUUGCGCGACUUAGCAAACGACCUCCGAACCGCGAUCCGUCUUUUCCGGAGUUUAUUCCUUGACUCCAAGGUGCUCCAGUUCCGAUCUCAUGAUUUUUAGACCUUUAUUCCGCGUGCUGCGGCUAUCUGUACCAAAACCGACCGUUUCGUCAAUAACUUCGCGUACGCUCGUCGGAUUGCCGAACCGAGCGCACCAACGCGUUCGUUAGGCCCCCAAUUAGGUUUCUAUAAGGCCAAUUUGCCUUAAAAACACCCGGAGGCAAAAGCCCCAAUUUCGGUGCCCUAACAAUGCCAUAAUCAAAUUUCUUGGGAUUGAUCUCAUAGCUAAGCAUAAUUAAGCUUAGAACCACCCAAGAAGCUCUCUAAACUUGUUUCCAUCUCAUUAGAAUCAUUCCUAGGGCAUUUAAAACAAACCCUAGGAUUCCACCAUUAGAGCCUCAUGAAGAACAACAUGGAUUUCAUGUGUUCUAGGUCUCUACAAGGUUCUAAACACAUUAGAAGCUUCAAAUCUCUAAGUUUUAGGGUUUAAAAACCAAACCCUAACCCAAUCCUACCAUGAGAGGUGAUAGGAACUUACCUCUCAAGCUCCUCCAAGCAUGAGGAAGAUGAAGGUGGAGGCAAUCAUCUUCUUCUCCAUCCUUUUCUUCUUAUUCCUUGCUUCUCUUCUCCUUUCUUCUUUUCUCUUUCUUCUUCUUCUCUUCUCUUUGCUAUGCACGGUUGAGAGAGGGAGAGAAAGACACGAGAGGGAGAGAGAGAGAGAGCUGGGGUUAUAACAUAUUGUAACAAUUGCCAAAAGACCCCUCAAACAUUCCUAUUUGCAACAGGUCAAUUCUAUGCUGUUUGGGCUCCUUGUACCGGUACACGGUUUCCUGUACCGGUACAAGGCCUGGCAGACAGCUCAACCCGAGAGCUGGCUCUCUCGGUUGCGCAGUGCUUGUACCGGUACAAGACCCCUUGUACCGGUACAAGACCCCUUGUACCGGUACAAGGCCUGGCAGCUCCAAGCCACUGUACUACGCUGGUUGUACCGGUACAACCAUUGGUCUUGUACCGGUACAAGACACCCAGAAAGUCAUUUUUGACUUCGAUUCCGCUCUAUUUCGCGUCGUUCAAUGCCAAAACCCUUCCAACUCAUUUAGAGCUUAUUUUUAACCCUUCCAACAGUGUUGGAACGUUAAUGGAUCGCGUCCAACCGAUCCCUUCGAGUACUUUAGUCAAUUAGGCUAAAGUCCACAAUAUUUCACCGAGAUCUCGGGGGUUACAUCGGACGUGGGGCGUGGACAACCCGUUGGUGUGCGCGAGAUCCGGAGAAGAUAAAAGAGAGGUUUGAGUCCGUGGAUUCAGUAAAUUACCUUGUAAUCUUUUAUUCUUAGUGGAUUGUUAUCGCGUGUUGGUCC
RNAcentral lists this long non-coding RNA (4919 nucleotides) under Ananas comosus (pineapple). RNAcentral's name for it is "long non-coding RNA (ACOM_LNC019928)". Lineage: Eukaryota; Viridiplantae; Streptophyta; Magnoliopsida; Poales; Bromeliaceae. The record is from RNAcentral.